Molecule: long non-coding RNA, 1222 nt
Organism: Erinaceus europaeus (western European hedgehog)
Lineage: Eukaryota; Metazoa; Chordata; Mammalia; Eulipotyphla; Erinaceidae
Exons: 3
Source: RefSeq, a predicted model, not a curated record
CAUCCAGGGACCCAAGGGGCUUCCAGGAUCUCUCUGUAUCAGGUGGUGCCCCAGCACCUCAUCAAGCCAAUGUGCUGAAUUGAAAAUCACGGUAACUCUGUACCAGGGGAGAUGUCUAAUCAAGGCUCAGGGGCUUCAAAGGACCUUGGAAAAGGAUCAAAAGGGCCAGAACAGAAAUCAUCACUGUGUUGAGGGGCCGGCAGUCAUUUAUAAGCUCUACAAGGAGGCUUUCUGCUGACAUGCUAUUUGAGACUCCUUAAUGGGGCUGGAGACGCCCCCAUGGGAUCCAUCUCCCAUCCCUGGCUGUUCUAACUUUUUAUCCCUCGGAAAAUGGAAAGCACUUGAGCACAAUAGGCUGAAAACCACCUUCGAGGUGGUCAGUGUGAUCCUGUCCUCUCCCGGGCAUCUUAUCCCCAUCAUCCUGCCGAGAGUGACUCCAUUUGACCACCUGAACCCCGACUCUGCGUGCCCUAGUGGGCCGGGUGCAGAGGCUGCCGCUUCCUCCACAGCAGGCAGAUUCCACCAUGCAGAGAAGCCCACAGACCCUGGAGCAAAGCGGUGCUGCUGCCAAGUAAAGGCAACCUCCUGGGACAGACUUGCAACAGGCUCCAUGCUGGCGCUUCAUUUAGGCCAAGGGUACCGCAACACCUUGUAUUUUGCACUUGAAACCUGGCUUCCCUUCCCGGUGAUGCCGGGGAGGAUGCAAGGAAGGGAACUGGUUCUGAAGGGUCUUUACAGAAAGGCAUGUGGGUCCAGGUGGGGGUCACUCCCUAGGAAAUGUUAACAGUUGUUUCUUCAGAAACACAAGGAUCUUAGCAAGCCUGGCUUGGCGCACAUUUCAGUUCUCUUCAUUAAAUCAAUGGUGCACAACCCCCCCGCCCCGCCACGACCCCAUCUCCUGACCUCAUUGCAGCUCAGCCUCCCGAGAGUCCCAGGAGGGUGCACAGAGGUGAGAGGUGCACCCUACACGCCAGCACCCAGGCUGCACCAGGCACACACACUAUGGACAAGUGAGGACUGAGUUUCUUUGGAGAGAAUGCUUAUCUAAAUGCCGUCUACUCUUGCAAAGGGAGAAGGGCUAUCUCAGGAUAAUUGCAUGGCUGCGUGAGCGGGACAUCCACGCUGCAGGGUGGUCUGACUGGACAGAGGGAAGCUAAUGGGACUUGGUGAGGUCAUGAGAACAGCAUAAGACUGAGGGACUGAGCACCAGGACAAAUGGAAC